AUUGAACGCUGGCGGCAUGCUUUACACAUGCAAGUCGAGCGGUAGCACAAGGUAUCUUGCUCUCUGGAUGACCAACCGCGUACGGAUGACUUCUGACUGGGACCCUGCCUGAUGGAUGGCUAUAACUACUGCAGACUGUUACUACUUCCGCCCUGCGUCUCAAGACCGAGGAUGUUCACCUUCCGCCCUCUUGCCGUCGCAUAUGCCCAAAUGGCAUUAUCUUGUAGGUGGGGUCAUGCCUCGCCUCGAUCACUAUCUCUACCUAGACUAAGACCAUCACCACUCGCACUGAAACUGAGACCCGACUCCUACUCCUACCGGAGGCGGCAAUGUUUAAUCUUUCACCAUGGGCCCGAUCCUGAUGCGCCCCUGCCGCGAGUGUGGCCAUCGCCUUCUGGUUCUCUUUUGCUUUCAACGAAGAGGACUGUGCCGAUCUUACUACUCUCUUACAUUGCCCUUACACUCAGAACAAGCUCCCUAUAUCUCCGUGCCCGCAGCCAUACUUAUGCUGAAGGCGCUAAUCUUAAUCACAGUUAGUGGACAUUGCGCACGCGCUUUUGCUUUACCGAUGUGAAAUCCCCGGGCUCAACCUGGGAACUGCAUUUGAGACUGGCAAGCUAGAGUCUCUCAGAGGGGGGUGGAAUUCCGCGUGUAGCGGUGAAAUGCGUAGAGAUCUGGAGGAACACCAAUGGCGAAGGCGGCCCCCUGGACUAACACUGACGCUCAUGUGCGAAAGCGUGGGGAGCAAACAGGAUUAGAUACCCUGGUAGUCCACGCCCUAAACGAUGUCUACUACUUGUUCCCGGGAGGCGUGCCUUCCGGAGCCAACGCGUGAAAUAGGCCGCCUGGGGAGUGCGUCCGCAAGCUUGAAACUCAAACGAAGGGACGGGGGCCCGCACACGCGGUGGAGCAUGGGGUUUAAUUAGAUGCAACGAGAAGAACCUUCCUUACUCUCGACAUCCAGAUCACUUUCCAGAGAGGGAUUGGUGCGUUCGGGAACUAUGACACAGGCGCAGCAGGGCCGUGGUCAUCUUGGGUUGUGAAAUGGAGGGUUAAGUCCAGCAACGAGAGCAACCGCUAUCCUUAGCAGCCAGCGGUUCGCCCGGGCACUCAAAGGAGACUGCCAGUGACAAACCGGAGGAAGGUGGGGAUGACGUCAAGUCAUCAUGGCCCUUACGAGUAGGGCUACACACGUCAUACAAUGGCAUAUACAAAGAGAAGCGACCUCGCGAGAGCAAGCCGACCUCAUAAAGCAGGUCGUAGUCCGGAUUGCAGUCUGCAACUCGACUCCAUGAAGUCGGAAUCGCUAGUAAUCGUAGAUCAGCAUGCUGCGGUGAAUACGUUCCCGGGCCU
This 1353-nucleotide ribosomal RNA is filed under the name uncultured bacterium. Its description in RNAcentral is "partial 16S ribosomal RNA". It matches the Rfam family "Bacterial small subunit ribosomal RNA", at positions 28 to 1381 of the family's 1533-position model. The record is from RNAcentral.